This 1463-nucleotide long non-coding RNA is filed under the name Mustela putorius furo (domestic ferret). RNAcentral describes it as "lncRNA (ENSMPUG00000026692.1)". Lineage: Eukaryota; Metazoa; Chordata; Mammalia; Carnivora; Mustelidae. The record is from RNAcentral.
UGCAAAAUGGUGCUUUAUUAAAGCAUGGGGACAGGACCCGUGGGCAGGAAGAGCUGCUGCUGCCCAGGGCCUGUGAGGAGUGGCUGGUUAUAUACACAGGAGUUGGGUAGGUGAGAACAAAGGGGUGUUCAGAAGGGCUGAAAGGCCUGGACAAACUUUACUCCACCUGAAAGUUGUUUACUCCACCCGAAAGUUGUUUGCGCCCGAAAGUGUUAUCAACGGGCAACUUCUGCUUCUGUAAAAGUGCUUGCUCAACACGCGGGCUAACUAGCUACUUUCGCUUCUGUUUGAAUGCUUGCUUGAUGGCGCGCCCGGGCUCCCAAUACCAAUCAACCAACACCAGGUAUGAUUUUUUAAAUUUGUUUGUACCCCACCCAAAACUUGUUUGUACCUGCUUAUAAAAACCUGCACUUACUCUGUCUGAGACCUCUCAGCGUCACUGGCAACGAGUGCGUGGAGGUCCGGGUUCGAACUCGUAAUAAACGACCCUUGCUGUUUGGCUUUGACUUGCGUCUCUGGUGGUCUUUUAAGCCACUGAAGAUCUUCCAUAAUGUCUUCUGAGAAUCCUGGCCAAUGAAGACAUCUAAAGUCCUGAAUGUCAAUGAUGCAAAUACCUCUGGGAGGGAGAUUCCAAAGGUCUUACAGGAGUAUACGGUUACUUCAUUGAGAAUCUAAAACUGCCAGUGAGGGCGUCUCAGUUGGAUUUUGGUGAACCUCCAGAAUUAUUGAAUGUCAGCACCUGAGAUCACACAGCUGGUUUUCAGUCCAAGAACUUCCCAAGUGACUGCAGCCAUCUCGUGCUCUGUGAGGGCAGUCCUGGGUCUAUCUCAUUUACUGUUGAGUCACCAAUGCCCAUCAACACUUGAUGAAGGAAUUAACAAAAUGCCCACUCAUGUGCCAGGCUCUGUGAAGGAUGAAGAGGAACCCACCAUACCCAACAAUAAAGAAACUCACAGAGAAAUUAAUCAUUCUGUCAUUAUUAUGGAUUUUCCAGUUUCCCUCUGUAGUUCUAUGGUUUAGCUAUCACUUUCCUAUCAUCCCCAAACAAGCAACCUCUAGUGUACUUUAUGUACCUAUAGAUUGACCUUUCCGAACAUUUCAUAUAAAUGGAAUCAUGUAAUAUGUGAUCUUUUGUGAUUGCCUUCUUUCACUUAUCAUGUUUUUAUGUUCAGCCAUACAAAGCACAUAUGAGCACUUUAUUCCUUGCUAUGGAUGAAUAAUAUUCCAAUAAAUAGAUAUAUCAUAUUUUGUUUAUACAUUCAUCUGUCAAUGGACACUAGGAUUAUUUCUACUUUUGACUACUAUGAAUAAUGCUGCCAUUCAUAUUUGUGUAUAGUUUUGAAUAGAUAAUGUGUUUUCAGUUCUCUCAGGUGGAUACCUAGGAGUGGAUCAAAUGGUAACUCUUUGUUUACCAUAUUCUUGCUAUCUUGAUUUUGCUUUUUCUUUUCCAAGUUAUCAGUUUC